UUUUUCAAUUUUUUCUGGGUACUUUGAAAAAAAGUCAAAAUUUUGACAACAAUCUGGCUCAAUUUGGACAUCAUUUUGACUGUUUUUUGGCUUUUCAACAAUUUUGUGCACAUAAUAUCGAAAUUCAAACAGAUAUUUCCAGAUGCAUAUAUUCAUAUACCAUGACACAAUAUGAAGAGAACAUAGCAAAAUAAAGCAUUUAACAUGUCCAUACAUCAUAUCUCGCCGCCUAGGCCCUGCACAAGCAACCGCAGCUCGACCUCCCCUGUGUGCUGGCGGAGCUCGCCGCGCGACAUGCUAGAGAGGUGCGCCGGUGACUUCGUGUCCUUAACACCAGUGAACAUGCAGUAGCGAGGGCGGUAAUGAACAACAUCAGCAGUGGAGUCAUGGCGGCAUCGACCCGAGGCCCUUUUGGUGGCCGUGAGGAGAUGGACGCGUGCGCAGGUGCUGAAAAUGGAGAAUGCAAGUAACCUAUAAGUUAUGUUUGAUGUAAUUAUUUACUUGUUCUUGGAUUCAAAUUUGGAAAUUACGUUAAGAAUAGGAUGCCACGUUUAGUUUCACGGCUUGGGUCAACUGAGCAACAAUACAAGAAAGGAAUACCACAAAUUUCAGUCUACCCGUUCCGCUGCACUUGUUGUAGGAGCCAUCAUCAUGAUAGUUAUUUGUUUCCCUAUCUAACACAAAUUGUUUAUCACCAAGAUAGUUUAGAUAUUUCUAUAGAACAAGAUGAGACAUAUAUAAGCUUCAUGCAUCUAAUUCUUGACUUCCAGAAAAGAAAACCAAACAUCUAACGUGGUGACUAGUUAAAUGCAUGUUAACCACCAUACUGAACUAGUACUGUAGCAUCUAGAUUUUAAGAGAUUCAGAAAAUUCGCUAGUACAUUUUUCCUUAAUCUAAUGUGGUUCCAAUGGCAUGUGGGAUAACAUGACAUCAUGCUAACUGAACUAUGCAGAAUAGAAUUUACAUACCCUCAAUUUUCCCUAGUAUACUUUGACUAACUGUAAGUUGUCUCUGAUGUGCAGGUUAACACAAGUAAUGACAGAUCAAUGCGCAGGGAAUCGGCGGCGCACUUGCAAGCAAUCGGCAAGCAAAAUCAGCCCCACAAUGCACAGGUAGAAGAGCCGGUGGAUCUUGGGGAGGAGGGGGCUUGAAGAACUCGUGAGCAAAAUCAGCCCCAUAAUGCCAAAAACCCGUCACCCAUCUCCGGUUCAGCCAUUAUUACCUAGUUCAUCUUAAAUCUGUGGUCUACCAUCAACAAUCAAUCGAACCACAAUAAGAUCUCUAGCAGCAAGCAACACUAAAAUAGCAGUAAAAAGCAAUAGUAGCAAGCAACACUAAAAUAGCAGUAAAAAAGCAACAACAGCAAGCAUCACCACGCAGCAGGGCAGCGGUGCACAAGCAACAACAACUUGGGCAGCAGCAACGGUUCAGAAUUGGGAGCAGCAGCAAAAGCAACGCUAGCGGCCGGCGGCGACCGGCAGGCGGCGGCCGAGACUGAGCCCGACGCGCCUAACCCUAGGGACGGGACAGAGGGGGCGGGAGAGAGGGCCUCACCUUCCUAGCCGGGAUCCAGCCGCCGUUGAGGACCACCAGGUCCGCCGUCGUUGAGGCCCCCCGCGCAAGUCGUCGUCGUCGCCGUCCCCUUGUUCUUGUGGGCGAGAGGAAAGGGAACAAGGGCGAGCGAACCAUAACGAUAUCUC
This 1701-nucleotide long non-coding RNA is filed under the name Triticum aestivum (bread wheat). Its description in RNAcentral is "long non-coding RNA (TAES_LNC021442)". The record is from RNAcentral. Lineage: Eukaryota; Viridiplantae; Streptophyta; Magnoliopsida; Poales; Poaceae.